This 74-nucleotide transfer RNA is filed under the name Rhizoctonia solani AG-8 WAC10335. RNAcentral's name for it is "tRNA-Val (AAC) (tRNA-Val-AAC-2-1)". The record is from RNAcentral. Lineage: Eukaryota; Fungi; Basidiomycota; Agaricomycetes; Cantharellales; Ceratobasidiaceae.
GGAUGGAUGGUGUAGUUGGUUAUCACGUCUGUCUAACACACAGACGGUCCUCAGUUCGAACCUGGGUCGCUUCA